GUCUACCCAGGAACUGACCUUGCUCUCUCUUUUCGCUGUUAGACAUGUGACUGCAGUGUACUCUCAAUGAGGAAGAUAUAGAUACGAAAAGAACUAGAGCCGUAUCAUAUGGGGACUUCUACAAAUACAGAGACUCGGAUUAAAGGGCACUCCACAGAAGGAUGUUAUUAUCAAGUCAGAUGCACCAGACACUCUCUUAUUGGAGAAACAUGCAGAUUAUAUCGCAUCCUAUGGCUCAAAAAAAGAUGAUUAUGAAUACUGUAUGUCUGAGUAUUUGAGAAUGAGUGGCAUCUAUUGGGGUCUAACAGUAAUGGAUCUCAUGGGACAACUUCAUCGCAUGAAUAGAGAAGAGAUUCUGGCAUUUAUUAAGUCUUGCCAACAUGAAUGUGGUGGAAUAAGUGCUAGUAUCGGACAUGAUCCUCAUCUUUUAUACACUCUUAGUGCUGUCCAGAUUCUUACGCUGUAUGACAGUAUUAAUGUUAUCGAUGUAAAUAAAGUUGUGGAAUAUGUUAAAGGUCUACAGAAAGAAGAUGGUUCUUUUGCUGGAGAUAUUUGGGGAGAAAUUGACACAAGAUUCUCUUUUUGUGCGGUGGCAACUUUGGCUUUGUUGGGGAAGCUUGAUGCUAUUAAUGUGGAAAAGGCAAUCGAAUUUGUUUUAUCCUGUAUGAACUUUGACGGUGGAUUUGGUUGCAGACCAGGUUCUGAAUCCCAUGCUGGGCAG
Molecule: small RNA, 721 nt
Filed under: Pongo abelii (Sumatran orangutan)
Lineage: Eukaryota; Metazoa; Chordata; Mammalia; Primates; Hominidae
Description: processed transcript
Source: RNAcentral